This 454-nucleotide ribosomal RNA is filed under the name uncultured organism. Its description in RNAcentral is "partial 16S ribosomal RNA". It matches the Rfam family "Bacterial small subunit ribosomal RNA", at positions 331 to 801 of the family's 1533-position model. The record is from RNAcentral.
GUACACUCCUGCGGGAGGCAGCAGUGGGGAAUAUUGAACAAUGGGCGCAAGCCUGAUCCAGCCAUGCCGCGUGAGUGAUGAAGGCCCUAGGGUUGUAAAGCUCUUUCACCGGUGAAGAUAAUGACGGUAACCGGAGAAGAAGCCCCGGCUAACUUCGUGCCAGCAGCCGCGGUAAUACGAAGGGGGCUAGCGUUGUUCGGAUUUACUGGGCGUAAAGCGCACGUAGGCGGACUAUUAAGUCAGGGGUGAAAUCCCGGGGCUCAACCCCGGAACUGCCUUUGAUACUGGUAGUCUUGAGUUCGAGAGAGGUGAGUGGAAUUCCGAGUGUAGAGGUGAAAUUCGUAGAUAUUCGGAGGAACACCAGUGGCGAAGGCGGCUCACUGGCUCGAUACUGACGCUGAGGUGCGAAAGCGUGGGGAGCAAACAGGAUUAGAAACCCCAGUAGUCCCAUGAU